CAGCCGCCACGGUAAUACGUAGGGUCCGAGCGUUGUCCGGAAUUAUUGGGCGUAAAGGGCUCGUAGGCGGUUUGUUGCGUCGGGAGUGAAAACCCAGGGCUUAACUUUGGGCUUGCUUUCGAUACGGGCAGACUUGAGGCAUUGAGGGGAGAACGGAAUUCCUGGUGUAGCGGUGAAAUGCGCAGAUAUCAGGAGGAACACCGGUGGCGAAGGCGGUUCUCUGGCAAUGUUCUGACGCUGAGGAGCGAAAGUGUGGGGAGCGAACAGGAUUAGAUACCCCGGUAGUCCCUGUCUCUUAUAC
This 301-nucleotide ribosomal RNA is filed under the name uncultured bacterium. Its description in RNAcentral is "partial 16S ribosomal RNA". It matches the Rfam family "Bacterial small subunit ribosomal RNA", at positions 509 to 807 of the family's 1533-position model. The record is from RNAcentral.